GAGAUUGUAGUUCAAUUGGUCAGAGCACCGCCUUGUCAAGGCAGAAGUUGUGGGAUCAAGCCCCAUCAAUUCA
Tetracentron sinense is the source of this 73-nucleotide non-coding RNA. The record is from the annotation of a GenBank genome assembly. Lineage: Eukaryota; Viridiplantae; Streptophyta; Magnoliopsida; Trochodendrales; Trochodendraceae.